RNAcentral lists this ribosomal RNA (253 nucleotides) under uncultured bacterium. Its description in RNAcentral is "partial 16S ribosomal RNA". It matches the Rfam family "Bacterial small subunit ribosomal RNA", at positions 524 to 776 of the family's 1533-position model. The record is from RNAcentral.
UACGGAGGGGGCUAGCGUUGUUCGGAAUUACUGGGCGUAAAGCGCGCGUAGGCGGCUUUGUAAGUUAGAGGUGAAAGCCCGGGGCUCAACCCCGGAAUUGCCUUUAAGACUGCAUCGCUAGAAUCGUGGAGAGGUGAGUGGAAUUCCGAGUGUAGAGGUGAAAUUCGUAGAUAUUCGGAAGAACACCAGUGGCGAAGGCGACUCACUGGACACGUAUUGACGCUGAGGUGCGAAAGCGUGGGGAGCAAACAGG